This is a non-coding RNA of Vicugna pacos (alpaca), 1992 nucleotides long. The record is from RefSeq and is a predicted model, not a curated record. NCBI's taxonomy places the organism in Eukaryota, Metazoa, Chordata, Mammalia, Artiodactyla, Camelidae.
UUGCAUUUGAUCAGCCAAGAUCUUGUUAAAAUGCAGAUUCUGACUUAGCAGUUCUAGGACCAAACCUGGGAAUCUGCAUUUCCACCAACUCCAAGGCGGUGGUGAUGCUGCGACCGCUGGUGUAGGGACAACACUUUGAGAAGCUAGACUCCAAGCUGGACAUCUGGAGCAAAACCGAAGGAGCCCCCGAUCUCAGAGGUGGACACAGAGGCCCAAGGAGGCCACGGAGCUCAUGAAAGGGCCAGCCACCGGCGUCCUGACAGCCCAAGCACAGGGGAAGAGCAUGGGUGGCUGACCCGGGAACCACCAUGUCUACCUCCACCAACCAGGAGAAGCCCCACUCAGCCUUGAAAGUACACUUGCCUUUGUCAUCUACAGAGGCCCGGACCCACCACCCCUUCCCAUUCAUUGUCUUCAGCCCAUCGGCCCACACAGUGAGCUGAAGUUCUGGGGUGCGCAGCACAGCACAGGGGCCUACGGAGGACACAGGGGGUCCAGUGUGGGAGCCCACAGCCUGCAAGAAGCUGCAUUUCUCAGAACAAACCCACGAACUGGCAGCAUGACCAGUAUCCCUAAGGAGGAGGAAGCCAAGAAAGAGAUGUCUUCAGUCCUCUACCUGUCACCUGCCAGAGAACCAGGGCACUUGGUGGGAGUUGGCCUCCCUUUCUCCUAACUGCCAUCAAUUGUGACAUCACUGUCAGCUGUGCCCGAUGUCUAACUCUUCACUUGUAUCAACGAGCUUAGCGACGGCCAUUGGGAGUUGGCUGGGUGCCCAGGGGGAGUGGUGUUUCCUCCCAAGAAUUCUCCAAACUUCUUAGAAGCAACCUUGGGAAACUGGCUGCAAGCAGUAGAUGGAGACCUCAUGAACCUCUCAGAAUUCCAGUGUGCCAACAGGCCCAGUCCAGUUCUCAUUAACAGAUGAAGAUGGAUGUGUAGGCAAUCAAGGAAAUCAUUGCCGUGAGUUUUUGCUGUCUUGAAUGCAUCUCUCCAAUAUGCAUUGUUCCCAUCCCCACCAGCCCCUCCGAUCCCCCACCCUUCUGGCUUGUUAUCAGCUCCAUGCUGUCUCUUUGCAUUAAAGUGACAAGAAGCAGCACAAAGCUGACAACAGGCGUCUGGAGCUGUAAUUUGCACUGACAUUCACUGGCGUUAUCCACUUAUUGCCUGGUAAGCCAAAUAGGAGAUUUGUCUGAUUUUGAUCCUAGGAGGAGAAAUGACAGCCCUGCUCUGCUCCUGCCAUUCAAAACAAAGCACCAGGCCGGUCCUUGGGCCUGAGUGCUGGCUGGCAAAGCCCCCCUCCGUGAUGAGGAGGCUCAUCUUCCUUUCCUCCGGCCGGAACUGCCUUUUAGGCCUGAUGUCUGGCAAAUACUGGACAAGGGGCUGGAGUGGGCGGUGGGAGGUGCCAGGCCAACCUCUCAGCUGGUGACAGCCCUGACCACGGUUGCCAGGAGGCUUCAGAGGACCCUCUGGGGGAAUGAAGUGCCCCCAGGUAGUCAGGCCCCAGCUGAAAGUACCUCAGCAGCCCUCCUUCUGCCUCCCCAGCCCCUCCUUGUAGACUCUUCUGGCUGGAAGAGAAGCGAGGCUGAAUGAGAGGCUCUCGAGAAGCAGCGCCAAGGAGUUAGCCGGUGGGCACAGCCCGCUAUGUAAUUUAUAAGACCCCAGACAAAAUGAAAGUGUGGGGCCCCUUGUUCAAAAAAAGCAGGAAAGAUGUCCUUAAAGGUACUAAAAUAUAAGGCCUUUAUCUUUCUUUUGUGGUCUCCAAUUUGUCAUAGUGUUUUUUUACUUGCUAUGUAAGGCUCUUCCAAAUAAAAAUAAGUAAAUAAAUAUUAUUUAUUAGCAUGAUUUUUACCUUUAACUUCAGAUUAUACAAUGACAGUUUUUACAUGCACAUAGAAGAGCCUUUAACUCAGAUGUGGAAUCACCACAGGGAUGUCAUUCAUAUUUCCUAACUGGUACAUGCAGGUGUAGGUCAUUGCUACCAGAAAAAUGAAAAUG